Molecule: ribosomal RNA, 363 nt
Filed under: uncultured bacterium
Lineage: Bacteria
Description: SSU rRNA
Rfam family: Bacterial small subunit ribosomal RNA
Source: RNAcentral
AGAACGAACGCUGGCGGCGUGGAUAAGACAUGCAAGUCGAGCGCUGAUUACAGGGUAGCAAUAUUCUGUAGUUGGAGCGGCGCAAGGGUGCGUAACACGUGGGUAAUCUGCCAUGAAGUUCGGGAUAACUCGCUGAAAGGCGAGCUAAUACCGAAUGUGAAAAUUAGGAGGCAUCUUCCGAUUUUCAAAGCUGGGGACCGUAAGGCCUGGCGCUUCAUGAUGAGCCCGCGGCCUAUCAGCUAGUUGGUGAGGUAACGGCUCACCAAGGCUAAGACGGGUAGCUGGUCUGAGAGGACGACCAGCCACACUGGAACUGAGACACGGUCCAGACACCUACGGGUGGCAGCAGUCGAGAAUUUUCAC